This 59-nucleotide microRNA precursor is filed under the name Parasteatoda tepidariorum (common house spider). RNAcentral's name for it is "microRNA pte-mir-11963a precursor". Lineage: Eukaryota; Metazoa; Arthropoda; Arachnida; Araneae; Theridiidae. The record is from miRBase by way of RNAcentral.
GUGUUUUCAUGGUACAACGGUUAAGCGUGCUGCUCAAUCGCUGUGCCAUGAAAACAUUU